GGUCAGCCAUCCUUAGGUACGUUUCCAUUUUCAGACAGAAAGGCGACAGACUUGGAACACCAUUGUUGGGCCUCGAAAACUGAUGCAGUAUGAUAGCAUCUUUUGAAUCAAUCUCCUGCUCUUUCCGGAUGGCCAGCAGCUCGUGGAGCAGGUAGGCGGCGGCGGCCAGCAGCGCGCCGCCCGUCAGGUACAGCGUCUUCUUCCACCACGAGUCGGAGCCCAGCGCCGCCAUGGUGCCGCCCGCCCCCGCGCCCGCCAGCGGGAAGGCGACCAGCUCGCCCCCAUAGAGCGCGGGCGGCGGCUCCUCGGGCCCCGCGCACCAGCCCAGCGACAGGCUGCGGUUGCGGCUCAGGUCCGCCACGCAGGAGCGAGGCGCCGCCAGCCCGACUCCCCACAGCAUGCUGCGCCCGGGCACCGCAUCCCCCGCUCCGAUCCGGCCGG
This 441-nucleotide long non-coding RNA is filed under the name Gallus gallus (chicken). The record is from RNAcentral. Lineage: Eukaryota; Metazoa; Chordata; Aves; Galliformes; Phasianidae.